Molecule: ribosomal RNA, 854 nt
Filed under: Ansonia sp. NMBE 1075508
Lineage: Eukaryota; Metazoa; Chordata; Amphibia; Anura; Bufonidae
Description: partial large subunit ribosomal RNA
Rfam family: Bacterial large subunit ribosomal RNA
Source: RNAcentral
CUUUAAAAUUGCGUCAAAGCUUAAUUGUUCCAACGCCUAAUUACCUAAUUAACAUCUUAAUCCCCAAUCAAUACUGAGUAAUUCUAUAAUAUUAUAGAAAAUUUUAUGUUAAAACUAGUAACAAGAAGGAGACCCUUCUCUUAAAUGUUAGUGUAAAUCAGAAAGGACAAACCACUGAUACUUAACAUUAUUGAACCAAAAGUAGCAACUAACCAAGAAAACUCUACCCAAAUCAAUGUCAACCUAACACAAGCACAUUUUAAGAAAGAUUUAAAGAAAAAGAAGGAACUCGGCAAAUAUUAACCCCGCCUGUUUACCAAAAACAUCGCCUCUUGAGCCUAAUAAGAGGUCCAGCCUGCCCAGUGACUCUGUUCAACGGCCGCGGUAUCCUAACCGUGCGAAGGUAGCGUAAUCACUUGUUCUUUAAAUGAGGACUAGUAUGAAUGGCACCACGAAGGUUAUACUGUCUCCUUUUUUUAAUCAGUGAAACUAAUCUCCCCGUGAAGAAGCGGGGAUAAAUCUAUAAGACGAGAAGACCCUACGGAGCUUUAAACAACAUAGCACUUACCACGCCUCAAUUUUUAAAUUAAACUUCUCAGGUAACAUGACUAUAAGUUUUCGGUUGGGGUGACCACGGAGCAUAACACAACCUCCACGUUGAAGAAAUCCUAUUUUAAGCUAAGAACCACCCGUCUAAGCAUCAAUAUCUUGACAUCCAUUGACCCAAUACUUUUGAACAACGAACCAAGUUACCCUAGGGAUAACAGCGCAAUCCACUUUAAGAGCCCCUAUCGACAAGUGGGUUUACGACCUCGAUGUUGGAUCAGGGUCUCCAAGUGGUGCAGCCGCUACUA